RNAcentral lists this ribosomal RNA (1127 nucleotides) under uncultured bacterium NoosaAW13. RNAcentral's name for it is "bacterial SSU rRNA". It matches the Rfam family "Bacterial small subunit ribosomal RNA", at positions 312 to 1482 of the family's 1533-position model. The record is from RNAcentral. Lineage: Bacteria; Candidatus Saccharimonadota.
ACUGGAACUGAGACACGGUCCAGACUCCUACGGGAGGCAGCAGUAGGGAAUUUUCCACAAUGGGGGCAACCCUGAUGGAGCAACGCCGCGUGCAGGAUGAAGGCCUUCGGGUUGUAAACUGCUUUUCUCUGUGAUGAUUCUGACAGUAGCAGAGGAAUAAGGAUCGGCUAACUCCGUGCCAGCAGCCGCGGUCAUACGGAGGAUCCAAGCGUUAUCCGGAAUUACUGGGCGUAAAGAGUUGCGUAGGCGGUCCGUCAAGCAAGACAUGAAAUAGUGUGGCUCAACCAUACUGCUAUGUUUUGAACUGUCGGACGAGAGGAUGAGAGAGGUCACUGGAAUUCCAAGUGUAGGAGUGAAAUCCGUAGAUAUUUGGAGGAACACCGAUGGCGUAGGCAGGUGACUGGCUCAUUCCUGACGCUCAGGCACGAAAGCGUGGGGAGCAAAUGGGAUUAGAUACCCCAGUAGUCCACGCUGUAAACUAUGGAUGCUAGCUGUACACCGUAUCGACCCGGUGUGUAGCGAAGCUAACGCGUUAAGCAUCCCGCCUGUGGAGUACGAGCGCAAGCUUAAAACAUAAAGGAAUUGACGGGGACCCGCACAAGCGGUGGAGCGUGUUGUUUAAUUCGAUGGUAAACGAAGGACCUUACCCAGGCUUGAAAUCCCGAUAGCCGAUUUCCGAAAGGAAAUUUUCAUUUAGUUGGAUCGGUGACAGGUGUUGCAUGGCCGUCGUCAGCUCGUGUCGUGAGAUGUUGGGUUAAGUCCCGCAACGAGCGCAACCCCUAUGUUCAGUUGGAUUUUUCUGAACAGACUGCCCUGGUAACAGGGAGGAAGGAGGGGAUGAUGUCAGGUCAGUAUUACCCUUACGUCUGGGGCUACAAACACGCUACAAUGGCCGGUACAAAGGGCUGCCAAGUCGCGAGACGGAGCAAAUCCCAUCAAAGCCGGUCUCAGUUCGGAUUGCAGGCUGAAACUCGCCUGCAUGAAGCUGGAAUCGCUAGUAAUGGUAGGUCAGCUAUACUACCAUGAAUACGUUCCCGGGUCUUGUACACACCGCCCGUCAAGCCAUGAAAGUGGCCAACACCCGAAGUCCGCAUCCGCGGCCUAAGGUGGGGGACAUGAUUGGGGUU